RNAcentral lists this small RNA (72 nucleotides) under Pseudomonas sp. OV226. RNAcentral's name for it is "Pseudomonas sRNA P10". It matches the Rfam family "Pseudomonas sRNA P10". The record is from RNAcentral. Lineage: Bacteria; Pseudomonadati; Pseudomonadota; Gammaproteobacteria; Pseudomonadales; Pseudomonadaceae.
UAUCACCGACCCAACCAGUUGUCCCAUGCCGGGGCACGGCUCCAAAGCUAUCGCCUCUGGCUCUCCUGAUGU